ACGAACGCUGGCGGCGUGCUUCACACAUGCCAGUCGAACGGAAAGGCCUGCUUUCCCUUGUGGAUUGCGGGUACUCGAGUGGCGAACGGGUGAGUAACACGUGAGUGAUCUGCCCCCAACUUGGGUAUAAGCCUGGGAAACUGGGUCUAAUUCCCGAUAGGACUGCAGGGUGGUGCCUGUGGUGGAAAACGAUUUUCUAGUGGUUGGGGAUGAGCUCGCGGCCUAUCAGCUUGUUGGUGGGGUAAUGGCCUACCAAGGCGGCGACGGGUAGCCGGCCUGAGAGGGUGGACGGCCACAUUGGGACUGAGAUACGGCCCAGACUCCUACGGGAGGCAGCAGUGGGGAAUAUUGCACAAUGGGCGGAAGCCUGAUGCAGCGACGCCGCGUGGGGGAUGACGGCCUUCGGGUUGUAAACUCCUUUCGACCGCGAGGAAGCCACCUGGUUGGAAGGGUGGUGACGGUAGUGGUAGAAGAAGCACCGGCUAACUACGUG
This 493-nucleotide ribosomal RNA is filed under the name uncultured bacterium. Its description in RNAcentral is "partial 16S ribosomal RNA". It matches the Rfam family "Bacterial small subunit ribosomal RNA", at positions 29 to 507 of the family's 1533-position model. The record is from RNAcentral.